RNAcentral lists this ribosomal RNA (389 nucleotides) under uncultured bacterium. Its description in RNAcentral is "bacterial SSU rRNA". It matches the Rfam family "Bacterial small subunit ribosomal RNA", at positions 29 to 417 of the family's 1533-position model. The record is from RNAcentral.
AUUGAACGCUGGCGGCAUGCCUUACACAUGCAAGUCGAACGGCAGCACAGGGGCAACCCUGGUGGCGAGUGGCGAACGGGUGAGUAAUACAUCGGAACGUGUCCGGUCGUGGGGGAUAACCAGUCGAAAGAUUGGCUAAUACCGCAUGAGCUCGAAAGAGGAAAGCGGGGGACCCGCAAGGGCCUCGCGCGACUCGAGCGGCCGAUGUCGGAUUAGCUUGUUGGCGGGGUAAAAGCCCACCAAGGCGACGAUCCGUAGCUGGUUUGAGAGAACGACCAGCCACACUGGGACUGAGACACGGCCCAGACUCCUACGGGAGGCAGCAGUGGGGAAUUUUGGACAAUGGGCGCAAGCCUGAUCCAGCCAUGCCGCGUGUGUGAAGAAGGCCC